RNAcentral lists this ribosomal RNA (245 nucleotides) under uncultured Gardnerella sp. Its description in RNAcentral is "partial 16S ribosomal RNA". It matches the Rfam family "Bacterial small subunit ribosomal RNA", at positions 110 to 356 of the family's 1533-position model. The record is from RNAcentral. Lineage: Bacteria; Bacillati; Actinomycetota; Actinomycetes; Bifidobacteriales; Bifidobacteriaceae.
GUAAUGCGUGACCAACCUGCCCCAUGCUCCAGAAUAGCUCUUGGAAACGGGUGGUAAUGCUGGAUGCUCCAACUUGACGCAUGUCUUGUUGGGAAAGUGUUUAGUGGCAUGGGAUGGGGUCGCGUCCUAUCAGCUUGUAGGCGGGGUAAUGGCCCACCUAGGCUUCGACGGGUAGCCGGCCUGAGAGGGCGGACGGCCACAUUGGGACUGAGAUACGGCCCAGACUCCUACGGGAGGCAGCAGNG